Molecule: ribosomal RNA, 305 nt
Filed under: uncultured bacterium
Lineage: Bacteria
Description: bacterial SSU rRNA
Rfam family: Bacterial small subunit ribosomal RNA
Source: RNAcentral
GGUCCUACGGGACGCAGCAGUGGGGAAUAUUGCACAAUGGGGGAAACCCUGAUGCAGCGACGCCGCGUGAGUGAAGAAGUAAUUCGUUAUGUAAAGCUCUAUCAGCAGGGAAGAAAAUGACGGUACCUGAGUAAGAAGCCCCGGCUAACUACGUGCCAGCAGCCGCGGUAAUACGUAGGGGGCAAGCGUUAUCCGGAUUUACUGGGUGUAAAGGGAGCGUAGACGGCAGUGCAAGUCUGGAGUGAAAGGCAGGGGCUUAACCCCUGAACUGCUUUGGAAACUGCCAUGCUAGAGUGCUGGAGAGG